Molecule: ribosomal RNA, 745 nt
Filed under: Enterobacter hormaechei
Lineage: Bacteria; Pseudomonadati; Pseudomonadota; Gammaproteobacteria; Enterobacterales; Enterobacteriaceae
Also listed under: 1 other name
Description: Large Subunit Ribosomal RNA; lsuRNA; LSU rRNA
Rfam family: Bacterial large subunit ribosomal RNA
Source: RNAcentral
UUUAAUGGCUGGUGUUCUAACGUAGACCCGUAAUCCGGGUUGCGGACAGUGUCUGGUGGGUAGUUUGACUGGGGCGGUCUCCUCCCAAAGAGUAACGGAGGAGCACGAAGGUUGGCUAAUCCUGGUCGGACAUCAGGAGGUUAGUGCAAUGGCAUAAGCCAGCUUGACUGCGAGCGUGACGGCGCGAGCAGGUGCGAAAGCAGGUCAUAGUGAUCCGGUGGUUCUGAAUGGAAGGGCCAUCGCUCAACGGAUAAAAGGUACUCCGGGGAUAACAGGCUGAUACCGCCCAAGAGUUCAUAUCGACGGCGGUGUUUGGCACCUCGAUGUCGGCUCAUCACAUCCUGGGGCUGAAGUAGGUCCCAAGGGUAUGGCUGUUCGCCAUUUAAAGUGGUACGCGAGCUGGGUUUAGAACGUCGUGAGACAGUUCGGUCCCUAUCUGCCGUGGGCGCUGGAGAAUUGAGGGGGGCUGCUCCUAGUACGAGAGGACCGGAGUGGACGCAUCACUGGUGUUCGGGUUGUCAUGCCAAUGGCACUGCCCGGUAGCUAAAUGCGGAAGAGAUAAGUGCUGAAAGCAUCUAAGCACGAAACUUGCCCCGAGAUGAGUUCUCCCUGAGACUUUAAGUCUCCUGAAGGAACGUUGAAGACGACGACGUUGAUAGGUCGGGUGUGUAAGCGCAGCGAUGCGUUGAGCUAACCGAUACUAAUGAACCGUGAGGCUUAACCUUACAACGCCGAAGGUGUUUUG